Molecule: ribosomal RNA, 253 nt
Filed under: uncultured bacterium
Lineage: Bacteria
Description: partial 16S ribosomal RNA
Rfam family: Bacterial small subunit ribosomal RNA
Source: RNAcentral
UACGUAGGGGGCAAGCGUUGUCCGGAAUCAUUGGGCGUAAAGAGCGUGUAGGCGGCUCGAUAAGUCUGCUGUGAAAGUCCAGGGCUCAACCCUGGAAGGCCGGUGGAAACUGUCGGGCUAGAGUCCGGAAGAGGCGAGUGGAAUUCCCGGUGUAGCGGUGAAAUGCGCAGAUAUCGGGAGGAACACCAGUGGCGAAGGCGACUACCUGGCCUGUUCUUGACGCUGAGGCGCGAAAGCUAGGGGAGCAAACGGG